This 321-nucleotide ribosomal RNA is filed under the name uncultured bacterium. RNAcentral's name for it is "bacterial SSU rRNA". It matches the Rfam family "Bacterial small subunit ribosomal RNA", at positions 917 to 1247 of the family's 1533-position model. The record is from RNAcentral.
GGACCCGCACAAGCGGUGGAGUAUGUGGUUUAAUUCGAUGCAACGCGAAGAACCUUACCAGGGUUUGAAAUCAUUUCAAAACUCCUUGAAAGAGGAGCCUCCUUCGGGAUGAAAUGACAGGUGGUGCAUGGCUGUCGUCAGCUCGUGUUGUGAAAUGUCGAGUUAAGUCUCGUAACGAGCGCAACCCAUGUCUCUUGUUGCUCACUGAGUGCUUAAGAGAGACUGCCGACCAACAUCGGAGGAAGGUGUGGAUGAUGUCAAGUCAGCAUGCCCCUUACAUCCUGGGGCUACACACGUACUACAAUGGUAGUGACAAUGGGU